This 497-nucleotide ribosomal RNA is filed under the name uncultured bacterium. RNAcentral describes it as "partial 16S ribosomal RNA". It matches the Rfam family "Bacterial small subunit ribosomal RNA", at positions 28 to 507 of the family's 1533-position model. The record is from RNAcentral.
GAUGAACGCUGGCGGCGUGCCUAAUACAUGCAAGUCGAGCGAACAGAUGAGGAGCUUGCUCCUCUGUCGUUAGCGGCGGACGGGUGAGUAACACGUGGAUAACCUACCUAUCAGACUGGUAUAACCUCGGGACACCGGCGCUAAUCCCGGAUAAUAUAUUGCACCGCAUGGUUCAAUAGUGAAAGACGGUUUUGCUGUCACUUAUCGCUGGAUACCCGCCGCUUUAGCUAGUUGGUAAGGUCACGGGUUAUCACGGGAACUAUGCGUUGCCGACCUGCGUGGCGGAUCGCCCACAUGGGAACGGAGACACGGACCAGGCGCCUGCGGGAGGCAGCAGUAGCGAAUCUUCCGCAGUGGUCGAAAGCCUGACGGAGCAACGCCGCGUGAGUUAUGAAGGUCUUCGGAUCGUAAAACUCUGUUAUGAGGGAAGAACAAAUGUGUAAGUAACUAUGCACGUCUUGACGGUACCGAAUCAGAAAGCCACGGCUAACUACGUG